This 265-nucleotide ribosomal RNA is filed under the name uncultured bacterium. RNAcentral describes it as "partial 16S ribosomal RNA". It matches the Rfam family "Bacterial small subunit ribosomal RNA", at positions 793 to 1055 of the family's 1533-position model. The record is from RNAcentral.
GUCCACGCUGUAAACGAUGAGAACUUGACGUCGGUUCGCCUAGCGAAUCGGUGUCGUAGCUAACGCGCUAAGUUCUCCGCCUGGGGAGUACGGCCGCAAGGUUGAAACUCAAAGGAAUUGACGGGGGCCCGCACAAGCGGUGGAGUAUGUGGUUUAAUUCGAUGCAACGCGAAGAACCUUACCUGGUCUUGACAUGUCAGGAAUCCUGCAGAGAUGCGGGAGUGCCCGCAAGGGAACCUGAACACAGGUGCUGCAUGGCUGUCGU